RNAcentral lists this non-coding RNA (23 nucleotides) under Gossypium hirsutum (cotton). The record is from RNAcentral. Lineage: Eukaryota; Viridiplantae; Streptophyta; Magnoliopsida; Malvales; Malvaceae.
UUCACCCUUGAGUCUCGGAGCAA